UGCGAGCCGGAGUGCAGCCCGCCCUGCACUAAUGGUGGCGUCUGCUUAGCUGUUAAUACCUGCGAGUGCCCAGCUGACUAUAGAGGACCACAGUGCCAGUACUCGGUAAGCGUAUGCGAUAUCCGCAAGCUCGCCUUCAACGGCGCGUACAAUUGCGCGGGCGACAGCGAGUCGUCCAGCUGCGCGCUGUCGUGCCCGCCCGGCGCCACGUACAGCUCGCCGCCCGCCGCGCUCUACACCUGCCGCUACGACACCGGCGUCUUCCAACCACAGCCUAUACCUAACUGCGUUUUCCCUGAAAUCGUAGUCAUCACACCAGGCAGUCACACAUACA
Long non-coding RNA from Trichoplusia ni (cabbage looper), 334 nucleotides. RefSeq lists it as uncharacterized. NCBI's taxonomy places the organism in Eukaryota, Metazoa, Arthropoda, Insecta, Lepidoptera, Noctuidae. The record is from RefSeq and is a predicted model, not a curated record. The transcript is spliced from 3 exons.